AUGCAUAAUCAUCUUAUCUGAUGAAUAUGAUGAAGCGAAAACUUGUCCUGGACACGAGGUUGGGCCAUUACCGCAAACUAUACAAAAUCCAACACGGUUCACAUUAUACGCUUUUUCUUUAUAUUUUUGAGCCUUAGCUUCCUAGUUUUUCUAGACUAAAGUGGUGCCACGGUCGCCGCCAUGACAGGUGUGAUGACGCCUCUUUGCAAAUGGUCCGAUAAAGGAGCAAGGGAAUUUUCAAAGAUGUUUUUUUAUUGUGUCGUGAACUGUCUUAAAAGAUCACAAAAUUGUUCUGGAAAGUGAAAGACAUGCUUCAACCAUUAAAAAUGUAACCCCCCGCAUUAGGAGGAAUAUUUUCUUACCAAACAACCAUUGAAACUCUGCUGCUUUGGAAGCGAACAAUUUAUCACUGGACCACCAUUGGACCUGUGACCUACCACUUUGGACGAGAACAUUUUAUCACUGGAUCAACAUUGAACAUUAGCACCCGGUAUAAAAUGCUUAAUUGAAAAUAACUACUUCAAGUGUGCAUCUGACAGGGUAAGAAUUACGUUGUUCUUAUGUCUUUGUUAUCAACUACAGUGCGCAUUGCUGCUAGACAUCUGGUAAAAGUGCGGGUAAAAUUAUCGUCCUGACAGAGCGAUGGGGCGGUGUGAUUAAAGACGGAAAAAAACUACGGUUAUUACGUCAGCAAGAGCAAAUCAUGGAUGAUUUGUAAAAUUGAAGCGAUUGAACUUAAAGCCAGAAAAUUUUUUAGAGAUUCGUCACUACAACGACAUCUUGGAGCUUCAAUUGAAAGCAAAGAGUUUCGUGAUGAAUAUGCAAAUAAUAAAACUAGUCAAUGGUGUGAAGAAAUAAAAAAACUUUCAACAAUAGCGUUGACAGAACCGCAAGCAGCCUUUGCAGCUUUCACACAUGGCGAGUUAAAAAAAUUUUACAUAUUUCAUGCGUGCAAUACCUGGUAUGGAAGAAUAUUUAGUACCUCUAGAUACGAUCAUAUCCGACAUGUUUUUACCAUCUGUUUUAAGCAACACCUUUUCGGAAAGUAAAAGAGCUCUUUAUAAAAGAUCGAUAAAAACUGGCGGCCUUGGAAUACCAAUACUAACAGAAAUUCCCGCCAUGGGUUAUGAGUCAUCAAAAGUCAUCACUGCUCCACUAGUUGCUGCCAGCAUUGUUUAGUCUGAUUCCCUUCCGAAUAAAGAUAAAACAAAACAAGUUAAAGCUUGUCGCGUAAAUGCUAUCAGGGAAGCUCGAGAUGUUAAUUAACAAUCAGCUGAAUAGGAGUGAGAUACGGGCAAUGGAACAGAAUAGUGAAAAAGGUGCCUCGAGCUGGCUUAACGUUUUACCAGUAAAAGGAAAAGGUUUCGAUGUUACAAAGGAAGAGUUUCAAGAUGCACAUGCGCUGAGAUACAAUCAUUCUGUAAAAAAUCUUCCAUCAAAAUGGGCGUGCGGAGAUGAUUUCAAUGCCACCCAUGCCGUGUGCUGUAAAAAAGGUGGUUUUGUGACUAUGCGUCAUAAAAUCGUACGUGAUUUCGAAGCAAAUUUGUUGCAAGAAGUUUGUGAUGAUGUGGAAGUUCAGGCAAAGCUUUCACCGGUCAACAACGAUGAAGCAAGGCUUGAUGUAAGAGCCAGGGUAUUUGGCGUCCAGGACAAUUAGCUUACUAUGAUGUACGUUUAACCAAUCUAAAUGCCCCAUCGCAAAUUGAAACGUCAAUUAGUAAGAUAUAUAAGAAGCAUGAAGCUGAAAAGAAACGUAAAUACAAUCAGCGUGUAUUAGAUAACGAACAUGGCACAUUCACCCCCCUUGUCUUUUCCAUAAACGGGGAAAUAAGCAAAGAAUGUUCUGCACUUCACAAAUUUCAUGCAGAAAAAAUUUCACUGAAAUCCGGCGAACAAUACGAUAAAAUAAUGACUUGAAUGAGAUGUAAACUCUCCUUCGUAAUUAUAUAAUCUGCUUGGCUUUGCCUUAGAGGUUUCAGAUCCUUGAAUACCAAGUUGCACACAGAGGUGGUUAAUAAUUUUUAUCUUGCCUGUGUAGAUGCCAGAAUAUGAAAUUUUUAUUUUAUAUAGUCACGAGUGCGCACUUCUCCUCUUCUAUUCAGUCAAACACUUGCGUGGCUCAUACUCAUCAUACUGUCCUUUCUUUAUUAAUUUUCAUGUUAUUUAUCCUUAGUUUAUUUAUAUUUUAAUUAAAUUGUAAUUAUAUUUUAAUGAAUAAAUAUAUUUACUUCUUCUUUCUAUAUAAGGUUACAAACUAAUUUCUUUAAUGCUAGCUGUCGUCUGUCUGUUUGUGCGUCUGUUUUCUUUUUUUACGGAAACACGAAAUGCGAUAUAUAAAGGAGGGGCUGCCCCGUGGAUUAAGUCUACAUUAUAAAACCCGUAUACGUCUGUCUGUCUGUCGCGCAAAAUGGUACCGUAAGUAGCAAGAUGCACGCAAUGCUGUAUAAAAAGGCCGGGCGACCCGUGGAGUGUUCCACGGACCACCGACUAGUGUACUGCAUGCAGUGUACAGCAUGAUAGCAAGUUGUAAUAACGACUAUUUAUUUAUAGUGUAAUGGGUGUUUCUAUUUAUAUCAAUUCUAUUCAAUUGUAUAGUUUAGUGGAAUUCACUACUUUAUAGAUUUUGCAAAAUUUUAUAAAUACUUUUUUUAACUUUACAAGAGGUCAUAUUUUUGUUUAGGUUGUCCCAUUUUUUCUGCUUGUUUAUUGCCACUUUUUUCUUUACAUAUUUUGGCAAGACGACAUUUUUUUAUACACUGACGUGUCGGGUAUUCAACCUAUCUAUUCUUUGUAAAUCUAUAAGAGAAUCUGGAGGAGAUUUGUGGGGAAGGCAGGGUUAAAUACCAUGGUUAACAGCAAUCAUGAUGAUAAGGACAGCAUGGCGUUUGAUAUUCACAAAAAGGACUUAUCAUAUCCUGAUGGGACGGCUUACUCAAUUAAUCGAUCAAACAAUUAAUCGAAUUUAUCUCAUUAAUCACUUCAACUCGUCAAACAGCGUUCUGUAGUGAAGCACUGCCCAUUUUAUCCUGCUAACAGUGUCAUCAUGAAACUUGUCAUUAUUUUUUUGGCUUUUUAUAUUUUGCAAAUACGAGAGACGAAACGUUGUUAUCGCAAACGCAUGUUUGGUUGCGUUGAAAUAAAAACUGAGAAAACUGAUUUUGAUAGAAAAACUAAAGACAAAAUGAGAAGUAAGACAAAUCUCAACCUUAUAGGUACGAAGGGUUCAAAUGUUUGAUUCAUAAGUGUGCAUAAUUUUAUUCGUUCGUUCGUUCGUUCGUUCGUUCGUUCGUUCGUUCGUUCGUUCGUUCGUUCGUUCGUUCGUUCGUUCGUUCGUUCGUUCGUUCGUUCGUUCGUUCGUUCGUUCGUUCGUUCGUUCGUUCGUUCGUUCGUUCGUUCGUUCGUUCGUUCGUUCGUUCGUUCGUUCGUUCGCUCGUUCGUUCGUUCGUUCGUUCGUUCGUUCGUUCGUUCGUUCGUUCGUUCGUUCGUUUGUUCUACUUUACCUUUUAGCUCUCAAGAAGAUGAACAAGUUUUUUACUUUAUACCUGGAACAAAAAAUUUUGACGAAAAAGAUACAUUGAUAUACCGAGACAUCAUUAACACGACACUGACGUUUUAUCACACACCGCCACAAAUAUAUCUGGACCAGCUAGCUAAAUAUAGUCAGGACCAGUAACUUUGAUUUUUAACCGCACUAUUAUAUCCAGUAAAUGAUGAACAAACUCUACCUAUCAUAAAAGUUAAUCUUUUACAACUUUGUAAUUAGUAAAGGUAUGACCCCACCUAACCUUGCACCUCAGCCGUUCUCUGAAGUGGAGAGUUUAUUACUGCAUAGGAACGUUACACAUGUUGGGUAAAAGUAUUUGUUAGGAAGAAAUUUCAGAUUGUUGAAAAUAAUUUAUGUAUCUUUUUUAAUUUUAGUCUAUUUUUAAAAUUUUUUGACAUGUGGUUGCGAAUAUUGUUUAUAUAGUUAUAAUCAUUUCUUUACUUUAGGACGAUUCUGAAAAAAGGUCCAGAACUGUCACUGUAUUAGUCGUUUUUUUAAGAAACAUACUUUUGGGAUUAUUCUGGGUGUUUCUUGAAUUUAAAGGAAAUUUAUGGUGUCAAAACGAAAUAGGUUGAGAAGGAGAAUCGAAAAUAAAUUCGAAAACAUAAAAUGACACUUCGGGAUUUAGCCAUUAGAAGCAAGAAUAAUCUCUAAGUAUAGAAAUAAAAAUAAGAUCUUUCCAUUUUACUCAAGCAACUUUCGUCUUGUCAGUACUGGGAAAGUCCCCUCUCCCCUCUGCCCCUCUUCCCCUUCUUCCAGGUAUUAUUCCUUCCACUUUCUCAGAGUUGUAGAAUAAAAAAUACCUAUCUUGCUCUUAUUGUUUAUAUCUAUCUUG
Long non-coding RNA from Hydractinia symbiolongicarpus, 4379 nucleotides. RefSeq lists it as uncharacterized. The transcript has 4 exons. The record is from RefSeq and is a predicted model, not a curated record. NCBI's taxonomy places the organism in Eukaryota, Metazoa, Cnidaria, Hydrozoa, Anthoathecata, Hydractiniidae.